GUCGGAGUGGCGGAAUUGGCAGACGCGCACGUUUGAGGGGCGUGUGGGAGACCGUGCGGGUUCAAGUCCCGCCUUCGACA
Molecule: transfer RNA, 80 nt
Filed under: Desulforamulus ferrireducens
Lineage: Bacteria; Bacillati; Bacillota; Clostridia; Eubacteriales; Peptococcaceae
Description: Desulfotomaculum ferrireducens tRNA
Rfam family: tRNA
About the family: Transfer RNA (tRNA) molecules are approximately 80 nucleotides in length. Their secondary structure includes four short double-helical elements and three loops (D, anti-codon, and T loops).
Source: Rfam by way of RNAcentral